This 1185-nucleotide long non-coding RNA is filed under the name Cricetulus griseus (Chinese hamster). Its description in RNAcentral is "lncRNA (ENSCGRG00015035936.1)". The record is from RNAcentral. Lineage: Eukaryota; Metazoa; Chordata; Mammalia; Rodentia; Cricetidae.
CCGCCCUCCCUCCCUCGCGCUCUCUCUCGCGCUCGCUCGCUCGCUCCAGUAUGUAAAUGUGUAAUAGAAGCCAAAUAUGGAGCAGUUGGCUGCCGCCGCCACAGCUCAAGGAUCCGACUUCAUGGGGGGGGGGGGGCACCCUCUGGCAGGCGGCCCGGCGAGCCGCACAGAGCACGGCGAGCGCACGGCGCGGCUGCCGGCCCGCGCCCUUAACCCUUCUGUGCACCCGGCCGGAGCAGCGGUCCCUCCCUCCAGGGGAGGCCCGGUGCCUCUCCCUAACUGCGGCUCCGGAUCCCGGACAUCGGCCCGUGGGGACUGUGCCUUCCAGAGUUCAACAGUCUUGGUUAGAGAAGGAGGAGGAAGACAAUGAUGACAGUGAGGAGGACAAGGAGGAGAAAGAAAGUCCUGCAAUUUCAGAGAGUCCAGCUCUCUGAAGUCGGAAGGAAAUGCAAAGACCCUAUUUGUGGCUGCAGGAGAGGAAAAGAGUCCCGCAAGGAAACUACCAACAGAUGAGGGAGCUGGGAAUCUGGUUCCAUACGUCAUUGCACUUUCCACGAAAUCAUGAGGCCCUGAGUUCACAUCCACAGAACUCACAUAAAUACUGGAUCCAUAUGCAAUACCAUCUUCUGUAGUUGGUUGUUUUUUAUUCUUUAUUCUUUUGGGGGCCCGGCCACCAGCUCCCAAAUAAAUCAUGCACACAGAGGCUUAUUCUUACUUAUGAAUGCCCAGCCUUAGCUUGACUUAUUUCUAGUCAGCUUUUCUUAACUUAUAUUAUCCCACCUAUCUUUUGCCUCUGGGCUCUUACCUUUCUCUAUUUGUGUAUAUCUGUUCUUUCCUUCAUAUCCCGUUGCUAGCUGUGUUGCUGGGUAGCUGACCUCUUCUUUUCUGGCUCUCCCUCUUCUAGAUCUCCCUCUCCCCAGAUGUCUCCUCCUAUUUACUCUCUCUGCCUGCCAGCCCCUCCUAUCCUUUCUCCUGCCUUGUAACUGGCUGUUCAGCUCUUUAUAGGACCAAUCAAGUGUUUGAGACAAAGCAACACAGCUUCACAGAGUUAAACAAAUGCAACAUACAAGACUGCAACACAACUUCCCAUCAUUAAACAAAUGUUCCACCGCAUAAACAAAUGUAACACAUCUUAAAUAAUAUUCCACAACAAUCUUCACACUCCUGUGGGGAAAUGGAAGGCAG